UGGAGCAUGUGGUUCAAUUCGACGCAACGCGCAAAACCUUACCUGGGCUAGAAAUGACAGGAACCUGGUUGAAAGAUCGGGGUGCCUUCGGGAAUCUGUUGUUAGGUGCUGCAUGGCUGUCGUCAGCUCGUGUCGUGAGAUGUUGGGUUAAGUCCCGCAACGAGCGCAACCCUUGCCGUUAGUUGCCAGCAUUCAGUUGGGCACUCUAACGGGACUGCCGACCUUCAAGUCGGAGGAAGGUGGGGAUGACGUCAAGUCCUCAUGGCCCUUACGUCCAGGGCUACACACGUGCUACAAUGGCCGGUACAGUGGGUUGCGACACAGCGAUGUGAAGCCAAUCCCGAAAAGCCGGUCUCAGUCCGGAUUGGAGUCUGCAACUCGACUCCAUGAGGUUGGAAUCGCUAGUAAUCGCGGAUCAGCACGCCGCGGUGAAUACGUUCCCGGGCCUU
Molecule: ribosomal RNA, 449 nt
Filed under: uncultured Sorangiineae bacterium
Lineage: Bacteria; Pseudomonadati; Myxococcota; Myxococcia; Myxococcales
Description: bacterial SSU rRNA
Rfam family: Bacterial small subunit ribosomal RNA
Source: RNAcentral